CUUUGAGACUUCACUUCUGUCACAGAGAGCUUGAAGCUAUAGAUUUAGCUUUCAAUACGUGGUUCCAGGAAGCCCUUUGGCGCUCUCACCUCUGGUUGAUUUUGCUGGCAAUCCAUACCAGCAACAUCUGACUUCUAAUUGGCUUUGAUGUCUCUUUCCACAGGCUUUCAGUUUUCUCUUUCCACAGGCUUUCAGUGUACCGCCUUAAAAAGACCAUUGUUCUAUAUGGAGGGUCUGGCAUGCCCAGGUUUACAGAGCCAGGUGGAAGUCAGAGGAAAACUGGACAGAAAGCAAGACUUGUUAUAUACCAGAUGUUUUUCUCUGAAUUAAAUUUUCCAAGGAAAUGACAGAUGUGCCUCCAAAAGAUCAGGACAACUGAAAAAGGAAAAAAGACAGAAAAGGAACAUGGUGAGGUGAAAAGUCAACUGUAGUUGUAGUGUUUCCCUUUGGGUAGCCUUGACAAAUAGCUACCCAAAUAGCUUCAGCUGCAUUAUCUCAGGCAUUCUGAGUGACAUCCCAGAUCAUUCUUAUGAGUCUUCAGAAUUACUUUCCAGGAAGAGUGGUCGCUGGGGGCAGAACAAGAUGGUUUGGAGAGGG
This 597-nucleotide long non-coding RNA is filed under the name Coturnix japonica (Japanese quail). RNAcentral's name for it is "lncRNA (ENSCJPG00005012591.1)". Lineage: Eukaryota; Metazoa; Chordata; Aves; Galliformes; Phasianidae. The record is from RNAcentral.